UACAGAGACCUCAAGCGUUAUCCGGAAUCAUUGGGCGUAAAGCGUACCGAUAGGUGGUUAUACAAGUCAGAAGUGAAAUUCCAAAGCUUAACUUUGGGUCUGUCUUUUGAAACUGUAUAACUAGAAGGGCAAAGAGGAAGCUGGAACAAACGGUGUAGUAGUGAAAUGCGUUGAUAUCGUUUGGAACACCAAUAGCGUAGGCAGGCUUCUGGGUGCCACUUGACACUGCUAGGACGAAAGCGUGGGGGAGCGAAUGGG
This 258-nucleotide ribosomal RNA is filed under the name uncultured bacterium. RNAcentral's name for it is "partial 16S ribosomal RNA". It matches the Rfam family "Bacterial small subunit ribosomal RNA", at positions 524 to 776 of the family's 1533-position model. The record is from RNAcentral.